GCUAAUCUCUUAAAGCCAGUCUCAGUUCGGAUUGUAGGCUGCAACUCGCCUACAUGAAGUCGGAAUCGCUAGUAAUCGCGGAUCAGCACGCCGCGGUGAAUACGUUCCCGGGCCUUGUACACACCGCCCGUCACACCACGAGAGUUUGUAACACCCGAAGUCGGUGAGGUAACCGUAAGGAGCCAGCCGCCUAAGGUGGGAUAGAUGAUUGGGGUGAAGUCGUAACAAGGUAGCCGUAUCGGAAGGUGCGGCUGGAUCACCUCCUUUCUAAGGA
Molecule: ribosomal RNA, 274 nt
Filed under: Klebsiella pneumoniae
Lineage: Bacteria; Pseudomonadati; Pseudomonadota; Gammaproteobacteria; Enterobacterales; Enterobacteriaceae
Description: partial 16S ribosomal RNA
Rfam family: Bacterial small subunit ribosomal RNA
Source: RNAcentral